This 253-nucleotide ribosomal RNA is filed under the name uncultured bacterium. RNAcentral describes it as "partial 16S ribosomal RNA". It matches the Rfam family "Bacterial small subunit ribosomal RNA", at positions 524 to 776 of the family's 1533-position model. The record is from RNAcentral.
UACGUAGGGUGCGAGCGUUAAUCGGAAUUACUGGGCGUAAAGCGUGCGCAGGCGGUUUUGUAAGCCAGAUGUGAAAGCCCCGGGCUCAACCUGGGAAUGGCAUUUGGGACUGCAAGGCUGGAGUUUGGCAGGGGAGACUGGAAUUCCUGGUGUAGCAGUGAAAUGCGUAGAUAUCAGGAGGAAUACCGAUGGCGAAGGCAGGUCUCUGGGCUAUAACUGACGCUCAUGCACGAAAGCGUGGGGAGCAAACAGG